Molecule: ribosomal RNA, 508 nt
Filed under: Desertifilum tharense AM5E
Lineage: Bacteria; Bacillati; Cyanobacteriota; Cyanophyceae; Desertifilales; Desertifilaceae
Description: bacterial SSU rRNA
Rfam family: Bacterial small subunit ribosomal RNA
Source: RNAcentral
GGCUAAUACCGGAUAGGUCGAAAGAUGAAAGGUUAACUGCCUGAAGAGGAGCUCGCGUCUGAUUAGCUAGUAGGUGUGGUAAGAGCGCACCUAGGCGACGAUCAGUAGCUGGUCUGAGAGGAUGAGCGCCACACUGGGACUGAGACACGGCCCAGACUCCUACGGGAGGCAGCAGUGGGGAAUUUUCCGCAAUGGGCGAAAGCCUGACGGAGCAAGACCGCGUGGGGGAGGAAGGCCUUUGGGUUGUAAACCCCUUUGUUAGGGAAGAAAAAAAUGACGGUACCUAACGAAUCAGCCUCGGCUAACUCCGUGCCAGCAGCCGCGGUAAUACGGAGGAGGCAAGCGUUAUCCGGAAUUAUUGGGCGUAAAGCGUCCGUAGGUGCCCGGCAAGUCUGCUGUCAAAGACCACAGCUCAACUGUGGAAAGGCAGUGGAAACUGCAAGGCUAGAGUGCGGUAGGGGUAGAGGGAAUUCCCAGUGUAGCGGUGAAAUGCGUAGAGAUUGGGAAG